UAUUGCACAAUGGGGGAAACCCUGAUGCAGCGACGCCGCGUGAGUGAAGAAGUAUUUCGGUAUGUAAAGCUCUAUCAGCAGGGAAGAAAAUGACGGUACCUGAUUAAGAAGCCCCGGCUAACUACGUGCCAGCAGCCGCGGUAAUACGUAGGGGGCAAGCGUUAUCCGGAUUUACUGGGUGUAAAGGGAGCGUAGACGGCAGCACAAGUCUGGAGUGAAAGCCCGGGGCCCAACCCCGGGACUGCUCUUGGAACUGCAUGGCUGGAGUACAGGAGGGGCAGGCGGAAUUCCUAGUGUAGCGGUGAAAUGCGUAGAUAUUAGGAGGAACACCGGUGGCGAAGGCGGCCUGCUGGACUGUGACUGACGUUGAGGCCCGAAGGCGUGGGGAGCAAACAGG
Molecule: ribosomal RNA, 397 nt
Filed under: uncultured bacterium
Lineage: Bacteria
Description: bacterial SSU rRNA
Rfam family: Bacterial small subunit ribosomal RNA
Source: RNAcentral